Non-coding RNA from Ictidomys tridecemlineatus (thirteen-lined ground squirrel), 998 nucleotides. The record is from RefSeq and is a predicted model, not a curated record. NCBI's taxonomy places the organism in Eukaryota, Metazoa, Chordata, Mammalia, Rodentia, Sciuridae.
GCUGCUGUGCUGUUUAGGCCUGCGCAUCACGGACAGGUGGGUGUGGGCAAGGACCGUAGAGUCAGCCCAGACCCCCACGCAGGUUGAGGCCUUUGGAGGGGACGUCAGGGAGAACUUAACGUGCAAAAAGAGUAACAUCAGGAAGGCCUCGCUGACCCCAUUCUGCCCCAUCCCUGCGGUUCCCUCCCUGCCUGACCCGAGCAAGUCUCUUUGGUCAUCCUGGGGCUCAGUUGCAUUUUCCUAAGGAGAGGGUUGCUUCCCCAUGGUCUCUCAAACCCUUUUUCCAUUUCCAAAGACUCCAUGCCUCCAGAAAAGGAGGGCCCAGCAUAACCACAGGACAGGUGGUUGCAAACAGUGAGGGAAGAAGCUGACAAUGACUGCUGGGUUAUUUCAAUGGGCACCAGAGCACCAUUUCCUGCAGCCCACAGGGAAGACAGAAUAAUUGGUUGGCAGCAAGAGCUUAGUGUGGAAAUUCAGGGGAGCCUAAGGAUUCCUCAGGAAGGACUCCUCUGGCACUAGCGCUUCAUUGUCUGCUCCACUGGGAAGUAAUCAGCUUCCAGAAAGUUUGAGAGAUUGCAUUUCAGCAAGAGGGCCUCCUCAAAUCAGUUUAGAGGGAUGGUCUGUAGCCAAACAGGAACCUGAAGAAGAGGUAGUGAUGGUGGUAGUCCAAAGGAGGAGCUUUACCCUGUGCUGUACCCACAGGAGACAAACAACAUCUUUGCCCUUGCUGGAGGGAAUGUUAGCGCGGCCUAGAUGCUUUCUCAGUCACCUCCUAGGUACAGGUUUAUUCUCCAGGCCUACUACAGCUUGGUCCCCCCACCUUUAGCCCCCAAACCCUCAGUGAUUACUUCCACUACCCCCUGUGCCCCCAUGGCAGGUCCCUACAGAAGCAAAACAUAGUCACCUUAGACUCUGGCUUACUGAGACGAGGCCCUGAUAUUAUCAGCCUCGCCUGCCCACCAGUGUACUAUUUAAUAAAAAUAUUGUUAAAGAACAUU